Molecule: transfer RNA, 93 nt
Filed under: Thiotrichales bacterium
Lineage: Bacteria; Pseudomonadati; Pseudomonadota; Gammaproteobacteria; Thiotrichales
Description: tRNA-OTHER
Rfam family: tRNA
About the family: Transfer RNA (tRNA) molecules are approximately 80 nucleotides in length. Their secondary structure includes four short double-helical elements and three loops (D, anti-codon, and T loops).
Source: RNAcentral
GCGGGGGUAGCUCAGUGUCCAGAGCGCCCGGGUCCCGCCGCCAUGACGGGUCCACCCGGGAGGUCGGUGGUUCGAUUCCUCCUCCCCGCUCCA